CCUACGGGAGGCAGCAGUGGGGAAUUUUGCGCAAUGGGCGAAAGCCUGACGCAGCAACGCCGCGUGAGUGAUGAAGGCCUUCGGGUCGUAAAGCUCUGUCAGAGGGGAAGAAACUCCUGUCGGUUAAUACCCGGCGGGCUUGACGGUACCCUCAAAGGAAGCACCGGCUAACUCAGUGCCAGCAGCCGCGGUAAU
This 195-nucleotide ribosomal RNA is filed under the name uncultured Geobacter sp. Its description in RNAcentral is "partial 16S ribosomal RNA". It matches the Rfam family "Bacterial small subunit ribosomal RNA", at positions 338 to 524 of the family's 1533-position model. The record is from RNAcentral. Lineage: Bacteria; Pseudomonadati; Thermodesulfobacteriota; Desulfuromonadia; Geobacterales; Geobacteraceae.